This 1161-nucleotide ribosomal RNA is filed under the name Triticum aestivum (bread wheat). RNAcentral's name for it is "partial small subunit ribosomal RNA". The record is from RNAcentral. Lineage: Eukaryota; Viridiplantae; Streptophyta; Magnoliopsida; Poales; Poaceae.
AUGAAGAAGCACUUGAGCAGCUAUGGUGAUUCGUGGCCUUCCUAUGCUGUGGCAAUGGAUCACAAGAAUCCCAUAGGCGGUUCAGCGCCACCAAAUGAACCAGAUUGUAUCGGAAUCACGGAGUUCCUUGGGGGCAAGAACUUUCUCAUCACUGGUGGGACUGGAUUUCUAGCAAAAGUUAUUAUAGAGAAAAUCUUGAGGACAACUCCUGCUGUCGGCAAGAUAUAUGUGUUGAUAAAGGCGAAGGACGGUGAGGCCGCACUGAAAAGGUUGCAAAAUGAGCAACUCCGUGGGAAAGACUACCACCAUUUUUUAGCAAGAAAACUGGUUGCUGUAGUAGGCAACGUCAGAGAAGCUAACAUGGGCAUUGCGCCUAAGCAAGCGGAUGAGAUUGCUAAAGAAGUGGACAUCGUCAUCAACAGUGCAGUGAAUACGACGUUCGAUGAGAGGUAUGAUACUGCUAUGGACGUCAACACCAUGGGACCGUUCCGGUUAAUGACUUUUGCGCGUAGAUUUCGAAAGCUGAAGCUAUUCUUGCAUGUAUCAACAGGCCGCCUGAGUGGGUUCCCGGCGGACGGGGAUGGUGUCGUUGACGUGGUUCCGGCGGACAUGGUGGUGAACGCGACUCUCGCAGCGGUGGCAAAGCACGCUCAGGCCAUAGGGGCGGCACGGGAGAUGCACAUCUACCAUGUGGGAUCAUCGACAGCGAACCCGCUGAUGUGGCACAACAUGUUCACAUUCUUUUUCCAGCAUUUCACGAGGUACCCCUUGAGCAUGGCGGCAGGGCCACCAAUCAAGGUGGCGCCCAUGAGGCUCUUCGACAGCAUGCAGCAGUUCAACAGCAAUGUCGAGAGGGACGUGCUGCUCUGGGGUGCCGGCGAGACACUCUCGCCUCGGGCGCGGAUGCUUUUCACCAAGUACGCCGAGAAGAUCACCCACCUCGCCCGCAUGUACCAGCCCUACAGCUUCUAUGGCUGCAGGUUUGACAACACCAACACCGAGGCGCUCUUCCUAGAGAUGUUAGUGGAGGAGAAGGCGCAAUUCCACUUCGACGUGCGGAGCAUCGAGUGGAAGGAAUACUUCACCAACGUGCACAUCCGGGGGUUCCUGAAGCACGUCAUGAAAGGGAGCGGCACUUCCUCCAUUGUUGGAAAUAAUUAA